CAGCUAGUUGGUGGGGUAACGGCCUACCAAGGCGACGAUCGAUAGCUGGUCUCAGAGGAUGAUCAGCCAGACUGGGACUGAGACACGGCCCAGACUCCUACGGGAGGCAGCAGUUAGGAAUUUUGGGCAAUGGGCGCAAGCCUGACCCAGCAACGCCGCGUGGGUGACGAAGGCCUUCGGGUUGUAAAGCCCUUUUCUGGGGGAAGAUGAUGACGGUACCCCAGGAAGAAGCACCGGCUAACUACGUGCCAGCAGCCGCGGUAAUACGUAGGGUGCGAGCGUUGCCCGGAUUUAUUGGGCGUAAAGGGCGCGCAGGCGGUCACGCACGUCCGUUGUGAAAUCGCUCGGCUCAACUGGGCGGGGUCAGCGGAUACGGCGUGACUGGAGCAAGCUAGGGGGCAAUGGAAUUCCCGGUGUAGUGGUGGAAUGCGUAGAUAUCGGGAGGAACACCAGUGGCGAAGGCGGUUGCCUGGAGCUUUGCUGACGCUGAGGCGCGAAAGCGUGGGGAGCGAUC
RNAcentral lists this ribosomal RNA (514 nucleotides) under uncultured bacterium. RNAcentral describes it as "SSU rRNA". It matches the Rfam family "Bacterial small subunit ribosomal RNA", at positions 242 to 773 of the family's 1533-position model. The record is from RNAcentral.